Molecule: ribosomal RNA, 344 nt
Filed under: uncultured bacterium
Lineage: Bacteria
Description: bacterial SSU rRNA
Rfam family: Bacterial small subunit ribosomal RNA
Source: RNAcentral
AAUCAACGCUGGCGGCGUGCCUAACACAUGCAAGUCGAACGCGAAAGGGGACUUCGGUUCCUGAGUAGAGUGGCGUACGGGUGAGUAACGCGUGGGUCAUCUGCCCUCGGGUGGGGAAUAACUAAUCGAAAGGUUAGCUAAUACCGCAUAACACAGUGAUGUCAAAGCAGCAAUGUGCCUGAGGAGGAGCCUGCGUCUGAUUAGGUAGUUGGUGGGGUAACGGCCUACCAAGCCUGCGAUCAGUAGCUGGUCUGAGAGGACGGCCAGCCACAAUGGCACUGAAACACGGGCCAUACUCCUACGGGAGGCAGCAGUGGGGAAUUUUGCGCAAUGGGCGAAAGCCU